Molecule: ribosomal RNA, 755 nt
Filed under: Salmonella enterica subsp. enterica serovar Infantis
Lineage: Bacteria; Pseudomonadati; Pseudomonadota; Gammaproteobacteria; Enterobacterales; Enterobacteriaceae
Description: partial 23S ribosomal RNA
Rfam family: Bacterial large subunit ribosomal RNA
Source: RNAcentral
GACCUUGAAAUACCACCCUUUAAUGUUUGAUGUUCUAACGUGGAUCCGUAAUCCGGGUUGCGGACAGUGUCUGGUGGGUAGUUUGACUGGGGCGGUCUCCUCCUAAAGAGUAACGGAGGAGCACGAAGGUUGGCUAAUCCUGGUCGGACAUCAGGAGGUUAGUGCAAUGGCAUAAGCCAGCUUGACUGCGAGCGUGACGGCGCGAGCAGGUGCGAAAGCAGGUCAUAGUGAUCCGGUGGUUCUGAAUGGAAGGGCCAUCGCUCAACGGAUAAAAGGUACUCCGGGGAUAACAGGCUGAUACCGCCCAAGAGUUCAUAUCGACGGCGGUGUUUGGCACCUCGAUGUCGGCUCAUCACAUCCUGGGGCUGAAGUAGGUCCCAAGGGUAUGGCUGUUCGCCAUUUAAAGUGGUACGCGAGCUGGGUUUAGAACGUCGUGAGACAGUUCGGUCCCUAUCUGCCGUGGGCGCUGGAGAACUGAGGGGGGCUGCUCCUAGUACGAGAGGACCGGAGUGGACGCAUCACUGGUGUUCGGGUUGUCAUGCCAAUGGCACUGCCCGGUAGCUAAAUGCGGAAGAGAUAAGUGCUGAAAGCAUCUAAGCACGAAACUUGCCCCGAGAUGAGUUCUCCCUGAGACUUAGAGUCUCCUGAAGGAACGUUGAAGACGACGACGUUGAUAGGCCGGGUGUGUAAGCGCAGCGAUGCGUUGAGCUAACCGGUACUAAUGAACCGUGAGGCUUAACCUUACAACGCCGAAG